Molecule: non-coding RNA, 101 nt
Organism: Myotis davidii
Lineage: Eukaryota; Metazoa; Chordata; Mammalia; Chiroptera; Vespertilionidae
Source: Rfam
UUUGACAAAGAAAGAAAUAUUUACUUGGAACAACACAGAGAAGAUUAGCAUGGCCCCUGUGUAAGGAGGACAUAAAAAUUCAUGAAGCAUUCCAUAUAUUU